This 466-nucleotide ribosomal RNA is filed under the name uncultured bacterium. RNAcentral describes it as "partial 16S ribosomal RNA". It matches the Rfam family "Bacterial small subunit ribosomal RNA", at positions 28 to 507 of the family's 1533-position model. The record is from RNAcentral.
GAUGAACGCUGGUGGCGUGCUUAACACAUGCAAGUCGAACGAUGAAGCCCAGCUUGCUGGGUGGAUUAGUGGCGAACGGGUGAGUAACACGUGAGUAACCUGCCCUUAACUCUGGGAUAAGCCUGGGAAACUGGGUCUAAUACCGGAUAGGAGCGUCCACCGCAUGGUGGGUGUUGGAAAGAUUUAUCGGUUUUGGAUGGACUCGCGGCCUAUCAGCUUGUUGGUGAGGUAAUGGCUCACCAAGGCGACGACGGGUAGCCGGCCUGAGAGGGUGACCGGCCACACUGGGACUGAGACACGGCCCAGACUCCUACGGGAGGCAGCAGUGGGGAAUAUUGCACAAUGGGCGCAAGCCUGAUGCAGCGACGCCGCGUGAGGGAUGACGGCCUUCGGGUUGUAAACCUCUUUCAGUAGGGAAGAAGCGAAAGUGACGGUACCUGCAGAAGAAGCACCGGCUAACUACGUG